GCCUCUGGGAUAGCUCAGCUGGUAGAGCAUGAGACUCUUAAUCUCAGAGUUACAAGUUCCAGUCUCACGUUGGGCA
Molecule: non-coding RNA, 76 nt
Organism: Podarcis lilfordi (Lilford's wall lizard)
Lineage: Eukaryota; Metazoa; Chordata; Lepidosauria; Squamata; Lacertidae
Source: the annotation of a GenBank genome assembly